CAGUAGCCGCGGGAAUACGUAGGGUGCGAGCGUUAAUCGGAUUUACUGGGCGUAAAGCGUGCGCAGGCGGCCCGUUAAGACAGGUGUGAAAUCCCUGGGCUCAACCUAGGAAUUGCGCUUGUGACUGGCGGGCUCGAGUACGGUAGAGGGGGGUGGAAUUCCUGGUGUAGCAGUGAAAUGCGUAGAGAUCAGGAGGAACACCGAUGGCGAAGGCAGCCCCCUGGGCCUGUACUGACGCUCAUGCACGAAAGCGUGGGGAGCAAACAGGAUUAGAUACCCCAGUAGUCCCUGUCUCUUAUAC
This 301-nucleotide ribosomal RNA is filed under the name uncultured bacterium. RNAcentral describes it as "partial 16S ribosomal RNA". It matches the Rfam family "Bacterial small subunit ribosomal RNA", at positions 509 to 807 of the family's 1533-position model. The record is from RNAcentral.